Molecule: long non-coding RNA, 937 nt
Organism: Bubalus bubalis (water buffalo)
Lineage: Eukaryota; Metazoa; Chordata; Mammalia; Artiodactyla; Bovidae
Gene: BEX3
Product: brain expressed X-linked 3
Exons: 3
Source: RefSeq, a predicted model, not a curated record
GCUGUGGCCCAGUGCACAAACAGGCGGUUGUCCGUGCUUGUGCACGAGGCGGAAGUGGGGCGCUCCUGCUGCACUGGCCGCCGGAGUUGGGGGCGAGCUCGGUGGUGACGUGAAGUGCUCACGUGAUCGCGAGCUGCAGAGCGACGCAGCCUUCGGUGCAGUCGUCACUCCUGUCUGGGUACCGGCUCCCCGCUCCCCUGCGCACGGCGGGUUGGCAUCAGGCCCGCAGCAAGCGGAGCAGGUCUGCCGAACUAAGUGUGGCGGCGGCGCACUCGUAGCGAGGAUCAGAAGGAGCAAGAGACAGCGAGGAUAGGCCCAGAAAAAUAACCGGGGGAAAAAAAUCUCAUCAUGGCUAAUAUCCACCAGGAAAACGAAGAAAUGGAGCAACCCGUGCAGAACGGAGAGGAAGACCGCCCUUUGGGAGGGGGCGAAGGCCACCAGCCAGAAAGAAAUCAUAGACGGGGACAGGCUCGCCGACUUGCCCCUAAUUUCCGAUGGGUUAUACCCAAUAGACAGGUCAAUGAUGGGAUGGGUGGAGAGGGAGACGAUAUGGAAAUAUUCAUGGAGGAGAUGAGAGAAAUCAGGAGAAAACUUAGGGAGCUGCAGUUGAGGAAUUGUCUGCGUAUCCUUAUGGGGGAGCUCUCUAAUCACCAUGACCAUCAUGAUGAAUUUUGCCUUAUGCCUUGACUCCUGCCAUUUCCAUGAGAUUAAUACUGUGAUUUCCACUGUUGUUCUGUUUUUCCUUGCAUUUUCCUGAUAAUGCCUUUACUGAUCCGUUUGCUGUGAACCUUAUGUAAUUUCAGUGUGUCAGGUGGGUUCUGUGUUACCAGCUUCUAAUUGCAGAUUGCCUUGGCAUCCAAUCUAAGUUUCUGUCAACAGUAAAGUUUCACCCAUUUGCAUGGAAAAAUGUAAAGUUAAUAAAGUAAUUAAAAAGCAA